RNAcentral lists this long non-coding RNA (241 nucleotides) under Phasianus colchicus (ring-necked pheasant). Its description in RNAcentral is "lncRNA (ENSPCLG00000002524.1)". Lineage: Eukaryota; Metazoa; Chordata; Aves; Galliformes; Phasianidae. The record is from RNAcentral.
AAGGGCUGUCCUGGUUGAAACUAGGACAAUAACCAGGAAUAAUUAUUUUGAAAAACAGUCACCAGGUUCCUUCCUCCUGAACUUCACAAGUUUCUGUUAUAAAACUUUUUCGGAGGAUGGAGGAGAGGUGAAAUCACCAGUGUGGACAUCAGCUAUGAAGAAGAAUGCAUCUGUUGUCAGCUUAGAAAGCUGACUUCUUCUUGAAGAGCAUUUGACAAGUACUUCAAAGACUAUAUAAGAG